RNAcentral lists this ribosomal RNA (308 nucleotides) under uncultured eukaryote. RNAcentral's name for it is "partial 18S ribosomal RNA". It matches the Rfam family "Eukaryotic small subunit ribosomal RNA", at positions 1470 to 1796 of the family's 1831-position model. The record is from RNAcentral.
CCCUUAGAUGUUCUGGGCCGCACGCGCGCUACAAUGGCAAACUCAGCGAGUCUCCUUUACCGACAGGUAUAGGAAAUCUUUUCAGUGUUUGCCGUGAUGGGGCUAGACCCUUGUAAUUAUUGGUCUCCAACGAGGAAUUCCUAGUAAACGCAGGUCAUUAACCUGCAUUGAUUACGUCCCUGCCCUUUGUACACACCGCCCGUCGCACCUACCGAUUGAAUGGUCCGGUGAAGUCUCCGGACUGAGUACUUUUAGUACUUGGGAAGUUGACUAAACCUUACUAUUUAGAGGAAGGUGAAGGCGUAACA